CUUUCACCAUCAAUGCGGGAAUAUAUCAAUAAUUCAAUGCCCCCACUUUAAUACUGCCAAGACAUUUCCACCUCCAGGCUCCAGCCUUUACUACACUAUUCCCCAAUAGUCCAGAAAAAACAUUCACUAGUGGAUGAAUUAGGCUCUAAAGCCACAUUGAAUACUUUAUGCCAUCUCUCCCUCGUGUCAUUUAAAAUUGGGUAAUAGUCGUCUCUUGGGGCACAGCUCAACUGGUGGAUCAAUCAACAUUUGUCUUGCUUCCAGCAGCAGGGUGGAGGUUCGAAUCUUGGGGUGGAGGUUCGAAUCUUGGUGGGAACCUGCGGUCAGAUUUAUUUGGUAUGAAGCAAUCACUUUGGAGGAGGAUCUCUUGUGCGCAGAAGUGUACAGGCGGUGGGGGGAACCAGUGAUCCAAUUGAG
This 417-nucleotide long non-coding RNA is filed under the name Olea europaea subsp. europaea. The record is from RNAcentral. Lineage: Eukaryota; Viridiplantae; Streptophyta; Magnoliopsida; Lamiales; Oleaceae.